This 30-nucleotide non-coding RNA is filed under the name Mus musculus (house mouse). The record is from RNAcentral. Lineage: Eukaryota; Metazoa; Chordata; Mammalia; Rodentia; Muridae.
UCCAGACUUAGGUUCCCUUCAAUUACACGA